This 440-nucleotide ribosomal RNA is filed under the name uncultured bacterium. RNAcentral's name for it is "partial 16S ribosomal RNA". It matches the Rfam family "Bacterial small subunit ribosomal RNA", at positions 338 to 795 of the family's 1533-position model. The record is from RNAcentral.
CCUACGGGAGACAGCAGUAGGGAAUAUUGCUCAAUGGGGGAAACCCUGAAGCAGCAACGCCGCGUGGAGGAUGAAGGUUUUCGGAUUGUAAACUCCUUUUGUUAGAGAAGAUAAUGACGGUAUCUAACGAAUAAGCACCGGCUAACUCCGUGCCAGCAGCCGCGGUAAUACGGAGGGUGCAAGCGUUACUCGGAAUCACUUGGCGGAAAGAGCGCGUAGGCGGGAUAGCAAGUCAGAUGUGAAAUCCUAUGGCUUAACCAUAGAACUGCAUUUGAAACUGUUAUUCUAGAGUAUGGGAGAGGUAGGUGGAAUUCUUGGUGUAGGGGUAAAAUCCGUAGAGAUCAAGAGGAAUACUCAUUGCGAAGGCGACCUGCUAGAACAUAACUGACGCUGAUGCGCGAAAGCGUGGGGAGCAAACAGGAUUAGAUACCCCAGUAGUC